GCGGAGUUAGUCCAACGGAGGACGCCAGGCCACCCGCCUGGAGACGCAGGUUCAAACCCUGCACUUCGCUCCA
Molecule: transfer RNA, 73 nt
Filed under: Flavonifractor plautii
Lineage: Bacteria; Bacillati; Bacillota; Clostridia; Eubacteriales; Oscillospiraceae
Description: tRNA-Gly
Rfam family: tRNA
About the family: Transfer RNA (tRNA) molecules are approximately 80 nucleotides in length. Their secondary structure includes four short double-helical elements and three loops (D, anti-codon, and T loops). Further hydrogen bonds mediate the characteristic L-shaped molecular structure. tRNAs have two regions of fundamental functional importance: the anti-codon, which is responsible for specific mRNA codon recognition, and the 3' end, to which the tRNAs corresponding amino acid is attached (by aminoacyl-tRNA synthetases). tRNAs cope with the degeneracy of the genetic code in two manners: having more than one tRNA (with a specific anti-codon) for a particular amino acid; and 'wobble' base-pairing, i.e. permitting non-standard base-pairing at the 3rd anti-codon position.
Source: RNAcentral